Long non-coding RNA from Astatotilapia calliptera (eastern happy), 2611 nucleotides. The record is from Ensembl. NCBI's taxonomy places the organism in Eukaryota, Metazoa, Chordata, Actinopteri, Cichliformes, Cichlidae.
GGUGGUCAGACUGAGUAAACAGGCACUAAGUCAGAGGUUGGGCUCUCCGUUUCGCUGCAGGAUCCCUUCAUUCAUGCAAUUUAUGCAGUUUAUUAAAGUGCAAUUGGAAAAAGGAUUUUGAAAUGCAGUUUUUAAAAGCAUUUCAAAAAUCAGUUUAUUAAAUGGGAAUUCAAAAAUGAAUUUACAAAUGCAGAAUUUAUUCUAUAAUUCAUUACUUAAGCACAGAAUUCUUUAUUUCGAUGCGCGUGGCUCUUGUGGUCCUCCAUACAGGAGUGAGAACGUGUUGGCAUUUGGGUCCUCCUUCCCCUCAUCAUAGUCUGCCACGCAGGCCGUGACAGAAAAGCCCACUAAAAGAACGCCCACCAGACCAAAGCAAUGGUUUUGACUUGAUCAGCAUUAACCCCGCCCCCUGACUUUGAUGGGUGAAGCUGACAAAUAAAAUGUAUUUAUGAACAGCGAUGCAGGGCCAGGAGUAGCAACGUGAAUUAAAUAAAUACAUCAUUAAAUAAUUCAUUAAAUGUGUCAGUAAAAUAAUCAAAAUAGAAAACAAACCAAUAAUUGAUUAAAUAUGUAAUUAACUAAUUUGAAUUGUAUAUAAACAAAUAUUGAAAAAUUUUAAAUGAAAUUAAUGGAUAAUUCAUUAUUAAUAUAUAUCUUUAAUUGAUUAUGUAGAUUUUUUAAAUUAAUUACUGAAAUAGUUCAUUCAUUAGUGAUGCAUUUAUUUAAUGCAACCAUAAAAUUAUUGCUAGUUUAAGUAAAAUCAAUUUAAGACAUCAAUAUUAAAGGUUAACUUAUGAUAAUGAAUACAUGCAACUAUAACUGAUGACAUAAAAAUGAGGAUUUCUUAAGCUGAAGCCAAAGUGCUGACUCAUUUGUCAUGUUACUCUCAAAUGUUUUCCCUAAUAACAAGAACAUAAUUACACUUUAGCCACAAGAGGGCAGCAGCAUUAAUAUAAGUCACAUGUAUAUAAAGGUACAGUGAUUAUAUUACAGUGAUUUUGACAAAAACAAAACAGUUGAUGGCAGUGUGUUUUUCCAUGACAGAAUAAUUACGCACACCCCACUUUGCAGUUAUUUAUUUGUAAAAAAUGUUUGGAAUCAUGUAUGAUUUCCGUUCCACUUUGUGUUGGUCUUUCACGUGGAAUUCCAAUAAAACUGAUUCAUGUUUGUGCUGUAAUGUGACAAAAUGUGGGAAAGUUCAAGGGGGCCAACACUCGGACCGGCGGCCGCCUCGGGUCUCUGCUCCUCCCGCCUCCCCUUUCCCUCAUCCACCUGCUGCCUCUGUGGAAGCUCCGCCAUAGCCACCACCAAACAACUGAGUUAUUUCUACACAUCGACCAGCAUCCGGCCAAUCCACCACCUUCCAUCGUUUAUACCGUUACAAAAAAAAAAAAUCAUAAAAAAACAUCAUCAGCCCAUAAAAAUGAAAAAUCACCAUCAGUAUGCCCGAUGGCCAGUCCAGCUAUGGUCGUGCCAUCAGUUAACCCUUCGCUUGCCAGCUGUGACACGCGUGCCCAGGGUUGCCGACCCUUGCUCUAAAGCAUCUGAUUUGGAUUCCUGAGAUCAAAUAUAUUUUCCUUUGUGUUUGUUUUCUUCCCAUUUGUGGCUUUAAUGUAGUGUUACAUCCUGUUUGUUUGCUUCCAUCUGUAUACAUGUCCAGAUUCACUGUUAUGUUUCUAUUCUUACAUUGCUGUGUGAUCACUGUUCCCUCUGCUGACUGAUGUGACCUUUUGUAUCUCACACUGAUACUUGUCAUAUUUGUAUCUGCGCCUAAAAGAUAAAAAGUUUUCCAUGCUAAAACACAGCUCCACCUCCUGCAGUUCUCCCUCUGAACCACUAGAUGUCUCUGUUAUCUAAAUGAAGACGUGCAGCACAGCAACCACAGCAGCGCUCAGAUCACACGUGUCCUGUUAUUAUGUAUAAAAGCAUGAAACAGGUGAGACAGGUGGGAUCAAUAUUAAUGUUGUGGAAAUAUAUGAAAAAGCAACAGAAGAGUGAAAACAUUUCCUGUUUCUAGAAAGAUCUUUCAGCUCACAGCUGCUCACAGACUGUAUUUACAAGUGACAAACUGCAACUCUACAGUACAUCUACAGUAUAUAUCAAAUAUAUUCUGUAUUCAAAUCUAUUGAGUGAUGUUUGAAAGUCUUUCCAGGUGAGUUUGAUCCAGGAGGGUCUGAAGCCAGAGUCAGACAGAGACUGUGCAGAGACUGUAGAAGGACAGAGCAGCAGCAGAGCAGUCCAGAUACACUGAUGAUCCUCUGUCAGAUCCAGAGGGACACACAGGGAUGAUGCUGGACUCUACAUUGUGUCUGACAGUGGAGCUGUUCUCAGAGCAGUUCACUCUGCAGCACUGACAGUCAUCUGCACUUCUUCUCAUUCCUCUGUCAGUCACUGCUGGAUGAAGCUCUCCUCUCCACCUCCCAGUAACAUGGCCCAGUCAGAGCGUCUCUACACACAAGCUGCUGCUGCUUCAACCUCUCUGGAUCAUCAGGACACAGCUCCUCCUCUCUCAGCACACACACCGUCCUGUUUACCAUCAUCAGCUCCACCUGCAGAGAGAAGAAGGAAGAGCAGAGGAGAUAAACGAGUGUUUCCAGAGACUCUUCAUCAG